CUUUUUCUUUAAAGAAAGGAAGUUCAGUCUUGGCUUCGUUACCUGAAGGGAAAAAGGAUAUUAAUGAAACUUCAUUGGAUGAUAAAUGCGCUGGAUUUGUCUGACACAUGUGCCCCUCUGUUACCAAUCCUUCCAUCCGCCUGUCCUCUUUUUGCACGACUUCCUUAGACGCUAUUUUGUACUUGAGCACCUUGGCUUUAAUACGCUUCUAUGUUCUUAUAAACCCAUUAGUAUGUCUCUGAAUGUUUUUUAUUGAGACUCGAGUGGCCCUUUAAACUUGAACAACUUUUAGCAAUGCAUCUCUUGGCUCUCCCAUCGAUGAAGAACGCAACGAAAUGCUAUAAGAAAUGUGAGUUGCAUAAAUCAGUGAAUCAACGAAUCUUUGAACUCACCUUGCGCCCUCAGGACUUCCGGAGGGCAUGCCUGUUUGAGUGUCAUUACCUUCUGAACUUCAAUAGAUUUUACUACCUCAUUGAGGCCUGCAUGUGGGAGCUUGCUGGCGCCUUAGAUGUUCGGGUCUCCUUAAAGUUAUAAGUGGAAACCUUUCUGUUAGGUUAUUCCUGGUGUGAUAAUUAUCGACCCUUUGAAUAUUCUAAUGUUCCAUUGGCACUUGAGAUUUCUCAUUACAAAGACUGGUCUGGGCAUUGCAAUAAAUUUUGCUGUAACAGUGAUCUCUCAGUAGCAAUACCGGUUUCGGGUUGCAAUAAGCUUUGCUUUACCUGUUGUCUCACAAGG
RNAcentral lists this ribosomal RNA (735 nucleotides) under uncultured Tremellales. Its description in RNAcentral is "eukaryotic LSU rRNA". The stretch from base 284 to 437 matches the Rfam family "5.8S ribosomal RNA". The record is from RNAcentral. Lineage: Eukaryota; Fungi; Basidiomycota; Tremellomycetes; Tremellales.